CUUGCCUCCAUAAGAGGUCCAGCCUGCCCAGUGACCUAGUUCAACGGCCGCGGUAUCCUAACCGUGCGAAGGUAGCGUAAUCACUUGUCUUCUAAAUAAAGACUAGUAUGAAAGACACCACGAGAACUUAACUGUCUCCCUUUUCUAAUCAGUGAAACUAAUCUCCCCGUGAAGAAGCGGGGAUCUUCAAAUUAGACGAGAAGACCCUAUGGAGCUUUAAACACUAACCACUUGCCCACACAUUAAUUACCCAGGUUUCCUCAAUCAACGCAAUAUGAUUACGUGUUUUUGGUUGGGGUGACCGCGGAAAAUAACUAAACUUCCACAAUGAUAACCAUCCAAACUAUAAGCUACAGCUUUAAGUAUCAACAAAUUGACAUUCAUUGACCCAAUAUAUUGAUUAAUGAAC
Molecule: ribosomal RNA, 409 nt
Filed under: Pristimantis koehleri
Lineage: Eukaryota; Metazoa; Chordata; Amphibia; Anura; Strabomantidae
Description: partial large subunit ribosomal RNA
Rfam family: Bacterial large subunit ribosomal RNA
Source: RNAcentral